AUGUCACAUUCCGCAAAAAUUUACAAUACAUGUAUAGGAUGCACUUAAUGUGUACGAGCUUGUCCAACAGAUGUAUUAGAAAUGAUAACCUGGGAUGGAUGUAAAGCCAAGCAAAUUGCUUUCGCGCCGAGAACCGAAGAUUGUGUGGGUUGUAAGAGAUGUGAAUCUGCCUGCCCGACAGAUUUUUUAAGUGUCCGCGUUUAUUUAGGGCCUAAACAACACGUAUCAUGGAUCUAUCUUAUUGAUACGUUACAAAAAACUUCACUCAAAUCGUCUGAGUCCUCUUUAGCGAAGAAGCAUGUGCUUGAAAUAAUCGAGCACGGGCUUUUCUGGUCAAAACGUAUCUUGUCUUUAUCACUUUAUCAUGAGUUAUUUUCCUUGCUUACAAUACUUGUUGUUUUUCCAAUAUUUGCAGGUUCAUUAAUUUUCUUUUUACCUCAUAAGGGAAACAAAGUCGUUAGGUGGUAUACUAUAUCUAUUUGUUUAUUAGAAUUCCUUCUAAUGACUUAUGCGUUCUGUUAUCAUUUCCAACUGGAGGAUCCCUUAAUCCAAUUAAAGGAGGAUUAUAAAUGGAUAGAUGUCUUUGAUUUCCACUGGAGAUUGGGAAUCGAUGGACUUUCAUUAGGAUCUAUUUUAUUGACAGGAUUUAUCACUACUUUAGCAGCUUGGCCAAUUACACGGAAUUCGCGAUUAUUCUAUUUCCUCAUGCUCGCAAUGUAUAGUGGUCAAAUAGGAUUAUUUUCUUCGCGAGACCUUUUACUAUUUUUAUCAUGUGGGAGUUAG
This 783-nucleotide ribosomal RNA is filed under the name Triticum aestivum (bread wheat). RNAcentral describes it as "partial small subunit ribosomal RNA". Lineage: Eukaryota; Viridiplantae; Streptophyta; Magnoliopsida; Poales; Poaceae. The record is from RNAcentral.